Molecule: ribosomal RNA, 482 nt
Filed under: Triticum aestivum (bread wheat)
Lineage: Eukaryota; Viridiplantae; Streptophyta; Magnoliopsida; Poales; Poaceae
Description: partial small subunit ribosomal RNA
Source: RNAcentral
GAAAGAGUCUAGCUAGCCACUCAUCCCGUCAUCACAAAAGGAAAGAAAGCAUUUUUACACCCAAAAACCCAGCUGCUAAGAGCGAGCUAUGGACCACGCAACAGGUGCCAUGGGUAGCCUGAUCCUCAAGCUCGGCGAACUCCUCAAGGAGGAGUACAAACUGCAGACUAGAGUCAAGGAAGACGUCAAAGAUCUCAAUAGAGAGCUGGAGAGCAUGCAAGCUGAGCCGCCGGGUCACCAAACAUCUCAUAGUGGGAACCUGAGGUGAAAAACGAUUCGUCCCGUCCGCUCCCGCGAGCGGCUGGGCGAAGCCCUAGGCGCCGUCGGCCCUAGCCCUCCCCUACCUCUCCUUCCCCUUGCCGCCGCCGGAGGGCGCGGCCGGGCAAAGCCUAGUCCGCUCGGCGGCGGCGGGGCUCUCUUCCCUCCUGGCUUGGCUGCGCGCGGCGCGCGAUGCGGUGGUCGGCGGGAGCGCCGUACUCGGC